GAUGAACGCUAGCGGAAGGCUUAAUACAUGCAAGUCGAGCGGUAGGUGGCUUCGGCCAUUGAGAGCGGCGCACGGGUGAGUAACGCGUACAUGACCUGCCUGUCAGAAGGGGAUAGCCCUGGGAAACUGGGAUUAAUACCCUAUGGUAUUGAUAUUAUGAAUGAUAUCAAUUAAAGUUGAGGCGCUGACAGAUGGAUGUGCGUCUGAUUAGCUAGUUGGUAGGGUAACGGCCUACCAAGGCGACGAUCAGUAGGGGGCGUGAGAGCGUGGUCCCCCACACGGGUACUGAGACACGGACCCGACUCCUACGGGAGGCAGCAGUAAGGAAUAUUGGUCAAUGCCCGCAAGGGUGAACCAGCCAUUCCGCGUGGAGGAUGAAGGCCCUAUGGGUUGUAAACUUCUUUUAGAUGGGAAGAAAUGCUAGAUGUAUCUGGUACUGACGGUACCAUCAGAAUAAGCACCGGCUAACUCCGUGCCAGCAGCCGCGGUAAU
RNAcentral lists this ribosomal RNA (492 nucleotides) under uncultured bacterium. RNAcentral describes it as "bacterial SSU rRNA". It matches the Rfam family "Bacterial small subunit ribosomal RNA", at positions 28 to 524 of the family's 1533-position model. The record is from RNAcentral.